AUUCCUACGGGAGGCAGCAGUGGGGAAUUUUGGACAAUGGGGGCAACCCUGAUCCAGCCAUGCCGCAUGAGUGAAGAAGGCCUUCGGGUUGUAAAGCUCUUUCGGCCGGGAAGAAAUCGUGCGGGCUAAUACCCUGUAUGGAUGACGGUACCGGAAGAAGAAGCACCGGCUAACUACGUGCCAGCAGCCGCGGUAAUACGUAGGGUGCGAGCGUUAAUCGGAAUUACUGGGCGUAAAGCGUGCGCAGGCGGUUUCGUAAGACAGAUGUGAAAUCCCCGGGCUUAACCUGGGAACUGCGUUUGUGACUGCGAGACUUGAGUGCGGCAGAGGGGGGUGGAAUUCCACGUGUAGCAGUGAAAUGCGUAGAGAUGUGGAGGAACACCGAUGGCGAAGGCAGCCCCCUGGGUCGACACUGACGCUCAUGCACGAAAGCGUGGGGAGCAAACAGGAUUAGAUACCCUGGUAGUCCACGCCCUAAACGAUGCGAACUAGGUGUUGGGGAAGGAGACUUCUUUAGUACCGUAGCUAACGCGUGAAGUUCGCCGCCUGGGGAGUACGGUCGCAAGAUUAAAACUCAAAUGAAUUGACGGAAU
RNAcentral lists this ribosomal RNA (593 nucleotides) under uncultured bacterium. RNAcentral's name for it is "bacterial SSU rRNA". It matches the Rfam family "Bacterial small subunit ribosomal RNA", at positions 335 to 919 of the family's 1533-position model. The record is from RNAcentral.